RNAcentral lists this ribosomal RNA (406 nucleotides) under uncultured bacterium. RNAcentral's name for it is "partial 16S ribosomal RNA". It matches the Rfam family "Bacterial small subunit ribosomal RNA", at positions 29 to 526 of the family's 1533-position model. The record is from RNAcentral.
AUUGAACGCUGGCGGCAGGCCUAACACAUGCAAGUCGAACGAGGGGGGGACGUGUGAGUAAUGUCUGGGACACUGCCCUAGGGGGGGGGAAAACUACUGGAAACGGGAGCAAAUACCGCAUACCAUCGGAUGUGCCCAGAUGGGAGUAGCUAGUAGGUGGGGUAACGGCUCACCUAGGCGACGCUCCCUAGCUGGUCUGAGAGUAUGACCAGCCACACUGGAACUGAGACACGGUCCAGACGCCUACGGGAGGCAGCAGUGGGGAAUAUUGCACAAUGGGCGCAAGCCUGAUGCAGCCAUGCCGAGUGUAUGAAGAAGGCCUUCGGGUUGUAAAGUACUUUCAGCGAGGAGGCGUUACUCGCAGAAGAAGCACCGGCUAACUCCGUGCCAGCAGCCGCGGUAAUAC